This is a long non-coding RNA of Amphiprion ocellaris (clown anemonefish), 1595 nucleotides long. NCBI's taxonomy places the organism in Eukaryota, Metazoa, Chordata, Actinopteri, Pomacentridae. The record is from Ensembl.
CUCCUCUAAGGCCAAUGCCUUAAUUUGCAAUUUUAAAGAAACCGGUCUACACAUAGAUGCUCAGGUCUUGUGGAAACAUAUUGUUUUUUAUUUGUCUGUCUGUAUUCAAUUUAUGAAAACAUUGACAUUCUUCAGCUUAAUUUGGUGUGCAUCCUGAUAAAGACUGUGCAUGGCUGUAACAUCACAAAGAGAAUGGGAAAUCUAAGAGAUGCACCUCCUCUGCCAUUUUCCUCAAAUGUGGAUCAGAUGAUCUAGGCAAAGGUAACCCUGUUGAUUCUUAUCCAGCUGAAGAUAUCUCGAACGGUACUACACUGUAUGUAACAAUAAUUGCAAUAGAGUGGAGAGUUGAAACCAUGGUCAGCAUUUGUAUGUUGCAAUGGGGCAAUAGGUUUGAUUCAACUAAACUCAGUAUAAUUCAGUUUUAUUUAUAUAGCACCAAUUCACGAUAUAUGUCAUUUCAAGGCAGUUCAUAUAGUAAGGUGAAGACCUUACAUAUUAUAUACAGAGAAACCCAGCACAUCUAAAGUUUCCUUUGGAUUCCCCUUGAGCAAAAACCUGACAACAGUGGGCAGAAAAAAACUCUCCUUUAACGGGAAGGAAAAAAGACCUCCAGGAGAACCAGGCUCGGGGCAGGUGGACAUCUGCCUGGGCCAGUUGGGGAGAGGGUAAAGGGGAGAGAGAACAGGACAGCACAAGCACAGACAAGCAACGCAUAAGAAAAACAGUAAACACAUUUGAGGUUGGUGAGGCUAGUAGCUGCAGAUCCAGAGAUACCUGCAGAGAGGACACGAAGUUAGUGACAUCGAUUCAUGGAUGUCUUUCAUUUGGUUAAUUUUGUACUCUGCCAUGACCAGGAAAUGUGUUCAGACUGCAAGUGAUGUCUGUUAUGCACUGACACUGAUCAUAUCAUGUCCUUAUCUAAAAUUACAUUCAUAUAACCAUUCUUUUAAAUAUGAAUCUAAGAAUGAGACAUUUGUGUCAAAACAACAGUUAUAUGUAAAAUCAUCAACUUUCUAAUUAGAUAAGAUGCCCUAUUGACGUAUGCAGAUUGGGGCCAAGAUUUUCUAGUAGUCCACAAACACACACAGGUUAUUGUUGAUGUUUUGGAUCUCAGCACAGUUCAGAUGUGAGGGAACAUUUAGGGAAUUGUGGGUACCUGAAAAAAGUUAAGGAGUAUAUCUUGCUUUGGUAAAAGUUUGCUUGUUUGUUUCUUCUCAGAGCUGUUUACCUUUCACAUUUUAUUCUUGGUUUUCACUGGCUCAUGUUCUGUAUUCUCAGCAGUCUGUAAAACAGAAGUGAUGGUUCCACCUCAAAUAGGGAAAUACGUUUUUUUCUAGGAGUGUCUGUUUUAGGCAGAAACUAAAACAGUUGUGACGUCUUUGUUGUUGGUAUUACAUUCUGGUUUGCCUCCAUUUGUAUAGCAGUAUUUAUUUCUAUAAUUAAAACAAACAGAAGUAGUUGGACUGGCUAGACUUUGAGCUAGCAAUAUGUGCAUUUGUUAAAAAAAUUGUUUAUCUCUUAUAUAUGUGCACAAGCAUUAAGCCUUUUAAUGAUACAACACACAACAAUGUUAAUGAUUGUAUAGAUGACACAAA